AUCUCUUUGCCUUUUGGCUUAGAUCAAGUGUAGUAUCUGUUCUUUUCAGUGUAACAACUGAAAUGACCUCAAAGAGGCUCAUUACCUUAUUUUUGUUACAACACAUUUU
This 109-nucleotide small nuclear RNA is filed under the name Henningerozyma blattae CBS 6284. Its description in RNAcentral is "Tetrapisispora blattae CBS 6284 U2 spliceosomal RNA". It matches the Rfam family "U2 spliceosomal RNA". Rfam says of the family: U2 is a small nuclear RNA (snRNA) component of the spliceosome (involved in pre-mRNA splicing). The record is from Rfam by way of RNAcentral. Lineage: Eukaryota; Fungi; Ascomycota; Saccharomycetes; Saccharomycetales; Saccharomycetaceae.